Molecule: ribosomal RNA, 253 nt
Filed under: uncultured bacterium
Lineage: Bacteria
Description: partial 16S ribosomal RNA
Rfam family: Bacterial small subunit ribosomal RNA
Source: RNAcentral
UACGGGGGGGGCAAGCGUUGUUCGGAAUUACUGGGCGUAAAGGGUUCGUAGGUGGCCAACUCAGUCAGACGUGAAAUCCCUCAGCUCAACUGGGGAACUGCGUCUGAUACUAGAUGGCUCGAGUGCAGGAGAGGAACGCGGAAUUCCAGGUGUAGCGGUGAAAUGCGUAGAUAUCAGGAGGAACACCGGUGGCGAAGGCGGGUCUCUGGGCCGAUACUGACGCUGAGGAGCGAAAGCGUGGGGAGCGAACAGG